This 435-nucleotide ribosomal RNA is filed under the name uncultured bacterium. RNAcentral describes it as "partial 16S ribosomal RNA". It matches the Rfam family "Bacterial small subunit ribosomal RNA", at positions 29 to 507 of the family's 1533-position model. The record is from RNAcentral.
AACGAACGCUGGCGGCAGGCUUAACACAUGCAAGUCGAACGCGUGCAGCAAUGCACGAGUGGCGCACGGGUGAGUAACGAGUGGAUAUCUGCCUUUUGUUUCGGAAUAACCCCGGGAAACUGGGGCUAAUACCGGAUGUUUCCUACGGGAUAAAGAUUUAUCGCCAAAAGAUGAGUCCGCGUCCGAUUAGCUAGUUGGUGAGGUAAUGGCUCACCAAGGCGACGAUCGGUAGCUGGUCUGAGAGGACGAUCAGCCACACUGGGACUGAGACACGGCCCAGACUCCUACGGGAGGCAGCAGUGGGGAAUAUUGGACAAUGGGGGCAACCCUGAUCCAGCCAUGCCGCGUGAGUGAUGAAGGCCUUCGGGUUGUAAAGCUCUAUUGGCGGGGACGAUGAUGACGGUACCCGCAGAAUAAGCCCCGGCUAACUUCGUG